GCGCCUGUAGCUCAACGGACUAGAGCACUGGUCUUCGGAACCAGGGGUUGGGGGUUCGAAUCCCUCCAGGCGCGCCA
Molecule: transfer RNA, 77 nt
Filed under: Candidatus Woesebacteria bacterium
Lineage: Bacteria; Candidatus Woeseibacteriota
Description: tRNA-Arg
Rfam family: tRNA
About the family: Transfer RNA (tRNA) molecules are approximately 80 nucleotides in length.
Source: RNAcentral